GAAUUAGAAGAAACUGAAUGUAAUGAUGAUCACUAUUUCUCAAUUCACUGACAUGGCCCGAAAUUUUCAAAAAAAAAGUAGUGGGAAAUGAUAUUUAAUUCACUAAAAGAAUACUGCUGCUAAUCCAAUGGUUUUUCUACUAGUAAUCAAAGUCCAACAUACACCUAUUUUGUCGUAUGGACCUGGAAAAUCUAAAUCAAAUUGAUACAGUGAGCAGCAGCGAAUCUAAGGAACUUCUUUAUAUGGCGCUAACGGUUAUAAACCUUUACAAACUUUAUGUUGAAUAGAAAACAACAUAUUAAGCAUUGUAUAUUUUAAUGUCAACAUA
Stomoxys calcitrans (stable fly) is the source of this 328-nucleotide long non-coding RNA. RefSeq lists it as uncharacterized. NCBI's taxonomy places the organism in Eukaryota, Metazoa, Arthropoda, Insecta, Diptera, Muscidae. The transcript has 3 exons. The record is from RefSeq and is a predicted model, not a curated record.